This 407-nucleotide ribosomal RNA is filed under the name uncultured bacterium. Its description in RNAcentral is "partial 16S ribosomal RNA". It matches the Rfam family "Bacterial small subunit ribosomal RNA", at positions 30 to 526 of the family's 1533-position model. The record is from RNAcentral.
AUUGAACGCUAGCGGGAUGCCUUACACAUGCAAGUCGAACGGAGUGGCGAACGGGUGAGUAAUGUAUCGGAACGUGCCCAGUAGCGGGGGAUAACUACGCGAAAGCGUCGCUAAUACCGCACACUUUCGGACCGGCCCAAAUCGGAUUAGCUAGUUGGUGGGGGAACGGCUCACCAAGGCUACGAUCCGUAGCUGGUUUGAGAGGACGACCUGCCAAACUGGGACUGAGACACGGCCCCGACUCCUACGGGAGGCAGCAGGGGGGAAUGUUGGACAAUGGGGGAAACCCUGAUCCAGCCAUCCCGCGUGUGCGAUGAAGGCCUUCGGGUUGUAAAGCACUUUUGGCAGGAAAGCGGUACCUGCAGAAUAAGCACCGGCUAACUACGUGCCAGCAGCCGCGGUAAUAC